GUUAAGCGACUAAGCGUACACGGUGGAUGCCCUGGCAGUCAGAGGCGAUGAAGGGCGUGCUAAUCUGCGAUAAGCGCCGGUAAGGUGAUAUGAACCGUUAUAACCGGCGAUACCCGAAUGGGGAAACCCAGUGUGAUUCGUCACACUAUCAUUAACUGAAUCCAUAGGUUAAUGAGGCGAACCGGGGGAACUGAAACAUCUAAGUACCCCGAGGAAAAGAAAUCAACCGAGAUUCCCCCAGUAGCGGCGAGCGAACGGGGAGGAGCCCAGAGCCUGAAUCAGCAUGUGUGUUAGUGGAAGCGUCUGGAAAGGCGCGCGAUACAGGGUGACAGCCCCGUACACAAAAGCGCAUGUGCUGUGAGCUCGAUGAGUAGGGCGGGACACGUGGUAUCCUGUCUGAAUAUGGGGGGACCAUCCUCCAAGGCUAAAUACUCCUGACUGACCGAUAGUGAACCAGUACCGUGAGGGAAAGGCGAAAAGAACCCCGGCGAGGGGAGUGAAAAAGAACCUGAAACCGUGUACGUACAAGCAGUGGGAGCACAGGUUUACCUGUGUGACUGCGUACCUUUUGUAUAAUGGGUCAGCGACUUAU
RNAcentral lists this ribosomal RNA (592 nucleotides) under Salmonella enterica subsp. enterica serovar Berta. RNAcentral's name for it is "partial 23S ribosomal RNA". It matches the Rfam family "Bacterial large subunit ribosomal RNA", at positions 1 to 631 of the family's 2925-position model. RNAcentral also lists the same sequence under 3 other names. The record is from RNAcentral. Lineage: Bacteria; Pseudomonadati; Pseudomonadota; Gammaproteobacteria; Enterobacterales; Enterobacteriaceae.